This is a non-coding RNA of Nicotiana tabacum (common tobacco), 3979 nucleotides long. Lineage: Eukaryota; Viridiplantae; Streptophyta; Magnoliopsida; Solanales; Solanaceae. The record is from RefSeq and is a predicted model, not a curated record.
CCAUCCCGUGUCCCGUUUAACAUGGGGCCAUCCCGUUGGACAACCAUAUUCUUAGGUGCUCGAAACCGAGACCUGAGUGGAUUGUACCAAUUCUCUGUUUCUAAUAAAGACCAAUGAGAUUUAGUUUAAUUUCUCACACCUAAUUUAUGUGAUACUUCAUCUGACGCAGUGUUGUGAAGAGCGUGAAGUGAGGAAAAGCGACAACCCCCAUUUCGCUUAAAGCGAGAAGCGAAUCGUUUGCUUUUUUGAAGUGAAGCGGACUCUUGCAGAGUAAGCCCAAGCCGGGUCUUUACUAUCUUCUUUUGGUGCCAUUAAAAGAACAACUACAUAACACAUAAGAAAGGCAAUAAGAACUAAGAAUAAAGGAUAUAAAAAUUAGAGAAAGGGCAGUAAUUCUCUGUUAAAAACUGGGUAGAGAAAGAAGAACCCAAGGAUUGACAUCAAUUCUGAGAAAGAACCGAAGGUUAAAAAAAAAAAAAUCGCCAGCAUUUCGCUGCUAUUUGGACGUUGAAACAGAACCCUAGAGCGGGCACUGAGUCGCUUCGCAUCGCUUCUCGCUUAAAGCGAGGAAGCUAGCGCUUUCGCAUCGCUUCGCUUGGUCGCUUCUCACUUUUUAGUGGGAAGCGGUCGCUUUUUUCUACCUGAGUCGCUUCACAUGGGGAAGUGGGCACUGAGUCGCUUCGCAUCGCUUCUCGCUUAAAGCGAGGAAGCGAGCGCUUUCUCUAACACUGAUCUGACGUUGCUAGGUCUCAAGAUUAGGAGUCCAAUUUUUUGUGGUUUUAUGUGAUUGAAGAUAUUUGUUAGUGUAGUGAAGGUUAAUGUGGAAAAGUCAAAAUUAUACAAUUAAUAUUAUUAUCGAGAACGUAAUGCAAACUGUUUGGGGGCCUAUCCUGAAAAUUUCUGUAAGAAUUGUAGUUAGGAGAUGUUUGAGAAUUUACUUACUAUUUACUUACUACUGAACGUAAAUAUUGCUGAAGAUAAAUAACACUUCAUACGGUUUUGUUGGAAGAGGAGGAAUAGACAAUCUUAUUAGUUGGACUAAUUGUACACAAUCUUUCUGGACAAAAGCAGAGAAAAUGACAGCUGCACUCAAGAAGUAACCGAGUAUUAAGGGUAAGAGGGACAGAGAACUGGAUUCUGGAUAUUAGCAAUUUUGUAUGCAUAAAAAAUGAAAAAUGCUUCAUGACUUGGUCCAUAAGUUGCAUGUUAAACUUUCUUUGAUUGAUGUUUUACCAAACGCCAUACGUGCUAAUAAAAACAUAGAAGUGCUUUCAUGUAUAUCUGAAAAUCCAAGAUAUAUGUUUGCCAAAAUCCAUUUACCAAAAUUUAGAAAUAGUAUUGGCUUAUCAGUUGAGCUUAGGGUUGUUUACAGUAACUAGGUCGGUUACAGCUGGCCCUGCAGUUUCAAGCCCGUUAAUGAAGUAUUUAUUUGGGUCAAGAUCUCUAGCUAGGAAGGACUCUCCCUGCUGAAUUUGACGUCCAAGUUUUAAUUGAAACCUUCUUUCACCCCUUCCAGUUUUCUCCACCUCUCACCAAGCACCACCAAAGUAAAGUUUCAAACUGGGAGAGUAUUUUGUCUACUUUGUGAAUUUGAGGUGUCGGGUUAAUGCCCAUUUUGCUACGCUCUUUGUGGGGGUGUGCACUAUGUGUUGAUUGGGGGAACUACAUUUACAUUUUCUACAUCCACAUGUCCAGUCCAGUUACAUUAUCUGGUGAAUAUACAAAUACAAUGAUCAAAACUAUUUGUGAAGAUGAGCCGGUGACAUAAAUUUGUGGAGACAAACACGAAGUGUUUGUUUUCCACAAGUUAGGUAAUUGGGAAAUAAAUUAAAAUGAAAAUAAUUGGUCGUUGCUGUUUUUAUUCUAAAGAAUGACCGGUGGGGUUUUCUAGAGAACACUUAUAGUGGGUUCUUUUCAUAGGUUCUGUAGGUUGUAUACUGUGAAAUUCAUUUGUAAACAUUGUGUUUGGAAAGAAAUAGUUCCAUCUGUCCUUUGAGUAUUGGAGUGAAGGAGCGGGCCACAGGCUUAAGUUAACAAAUCUUAUGGUGGUUUAUUAUGUGUUAGUGCACGAAGGCCUGAGACUAUUUUUGACAUGGAUUGAGGAACUAGUAGUGAAUAGAGCAAAAUAAAUUCUUUACUAACUAGAGCAUAAGAACCACAUCCGACUAAUUGCAAUAAAUCUUCUCCUGGAAAGAAAUAUUCCAACUGCAGUGCUUGAAGCAGAAGGUGGUAGAAUGGAGUUAAAUUUUUUAAUUAAUUGGAAUGACAGAGAGUCUUUGCCUUGUCGAAGGAAUCUCCACCUCCAACCACGAGGUUAAGAAUUCGAGUCAAAGCCGUGGGGUGGGGGUAAUGGAGGAGGAGAAUGGGAGAAACCUACCACUGUCCUUGGGAGGGGUCUGGUUGAGUGGUCCUUAUAAAUAAAUAAAAAAAGAAAGAAAUGAUUUAAUUAAUCGAAAAUCCCCACAUUUGUUUCUCUUCGCAAGACAUGUAGUUUAGAGGGUAUCUAAAAGAUUAGAAAAAUGUUACAUACAAGGGUUGAAAUAUUUUAAGAUCUAUAAAGAAAAUGAUUUGGGUUUAACUCAACCUCAGAAGCUAGCUCAUGAGGUGAGGAUUGCUCAAGACCAUAUAAGGAGACAACAUCCUAUUCCCUCAACCUAUACGGAACACUAAACAUCUGCCUCGCCCAGCAUUGACAUCUGGCGGUCCGACAUUGGGUAAACUAAGAAUUUGGAUGGGUCUGACUCUGAUACCAUGUAAAAAGAAAUGAACUUUGGGCCUAACUUAACCUCAAAAAAGCUAGCUGAUGAGGUGAGGAUCCAAAGACCAUUUAAUGAGACAACUGCCCAUUCCUUCAAAUUCUCCCGAAGCAAGUCUUUUCCUGUCAUUUAUACAACCUUUAUAACAUCAAGCGCUUGUUCUGAUUUAUGAUUUGAUAUCUACCGCAUUUGGCUCACCGAAGAUGGUAGACUUCCCUUUUACUAGUUGCAUAUAAGCUGGUUAGUGUUUUUUUUAGUUGGCUCAUAGAACUUAACCAUGGUGUCAACAAUCUUUUUUGGUUAAUGUGAUAAUAUGUUCUGAUGACUAAAAUAUCUCAUUUCACUGUUGCUAGUUCACUUGUGCUUUGUGCUGAGAGGGAGAAAAAAGAAAGAAAGAAGAUAGUGAUCUAAUAUCUUAGUUCAGAGACCUUCUCUUAUCUAGUAUUAGAAUUCACAAGAGUCCUUUGCGGUGCCUUACAUCCAAACUAAAUGGAUUUGAUGCAAAUUUAAAAGCUGUCUCAACUAUUGUUGUAUUUGGAGAUUGUUAAUGACAUGCCUAUUAUAUAUAUACUGUAUAUAAUCUCAGGAGAUGUUGCUAGAGUGAAUGGCCAACUAGCUGUAUCUCGCGCUUUUGGGGACAAGAAUCUGAAAUCACACCUGAGCUCUGAUCCUGAUGUUACAAAUGCUGAUGUCGAUGGGGAUACAGAUAUUCUCAUACUUGCGAGCGAUGGUCUAUGGAAGGUAAUGUCUAAUCAAGAGGCAGUUGACAUUGUGAGGAAAGUCAAGGACCCACAUAAGGCAGCCAAGCAGUUAGCGAUCGAAGCACUGAUCAGAGAAAGUAAAGAUGAUAUCUCAUGCAUUGUUGUCCGAUUUAAGGGGUAAAUCCAUGAGAUUUAUCCCAGUGUGCAGUAUAUAUAUUUAUUAGAGGGGUAUUUGUUAGAGGAGGCGUGAUUUAUAGACUGAAAGAAGCUCGAAGUCUCGGAUAAUCCUGCAUAAAGUAUUAAAGUGUUACCUGGAAAGAGAUUAUAUCUUUUCCUCUUCCCCCCACCCUUUUGUAAUAUUCAUGUUCUUUACUCGGGCUGUGUGGUUGUUAUAUGUUGAUUUAUUCAGCUAGUAGAUUCUCAGGAUCAUAUUUCUUCACUUGCUUGAACACUCCAAUGUUGCAUUUGUUGGCAAACCAUUGCUUCCUGUAAUGGUGAAAAUGAGUAAGCUUUUUGAUGGUA